Molecule: long non-coding RNA, 4778 nt
Filed under: Phoenix dactylifera (date palm)
Lineage: Eukaryota; Viridiplantae; Streptophyta; Magnoliopsida; Arecales; Arecaceae
Description: long non-coding RNA (PDAC_LNC002945)
Source: RNAcentral
UGAGCUUUUGAAUGAUGAAAUGACAUUUAUUUGUUGCUUUGAUUAUUUUAUUAUUAUUACUGUGUGUGGCUGUUGGGAUUCUUACGGGGCUGGAAAAGCUCAUACUACACUUACUUUCUUUUUCAGAGGUACUGAAAUUGUAGAGUCUAUCGGGUGGAACAAGAAAUGAGAUCGAUAUGGAGUAUGACUGCUAGAUAGUUAGAAGUUAAUUUAUCUUUUGUUUAUGGACAUUUGAAAUUAUGUAAUUAAUCCAUACAUUUUAGUUGGGUUUGAUUUAAUUACAUUAAUCAUUAAUUUUGGGUAUUUAUGUGAAUAUUGUACCUUUUAGGCCUUACAUGAUCUCUAGGGUUUUACUUUAGGGAUUAUGUGGCCGUGUCACGUGGUCGACCCGAGUGACGGGUUUGGGGCGUGACAGAUUUGGUAUCAGAGCUUAAGGUUAAGGUAUCUUAGAGUUUAGGUUCAGAUGAGUGUGAGUGGAGAAUUAUGAUAGGAAAACUAUCAGAGCCUUAGUUUAUAAUCAUUUGAGAUUGUAACAGGAAUGAUAUUGUAAUCUAAGGUUUAAGACCACUAGAGACUGUGGGCUUAGUGGCAUUAGAGUUUGAGGUUUAAGAUCAUUGGGGAUAGUGACAAAAUUGGAAUCUGAGCAUAUGUUUAAGAUCACUAGGGACUGUGACAGAAAUAUAUUAUAGCUAAGGUUAUGAUCACUUGGGAUAUGACAAUUAAAUUCAGUGCUUAAGGUGUAAGAUUACUGGGCAUUGUGAUAAAAUAUAUGCAUCGGGUUUGGUUUUCGAUGAGUGUAGAAGGAAAGUAUAAAUUGUCUUUGAUCAUGAUAAGAGAGGUUUGACCUAAGAUAAGUGUAGGAAGGUCAACAAUGGCAUAUCUGUUAUACGAUGUUUAGAUAUUAUUUAAAUGACCUGAAAAUUCAAACUUGAUAUGGGUUUUGAUGUGAUUGUACUUUUGGUUUUGCUGCUAAUUGUUAGAGCGAGAUUUGUACGUAAAUCUUCCGUAGUAUUGGAGUGAGCUAAGAAGAUUUCAUAAUAUUGAAAGGAAUGUUCUUCGAAGCUGAAUAUGUAUGUGGAUUAUAUCUGGUAUUGGCAUAUUGGAUAUUGCAAAUAGGUCUAUUUUCUAUUGAUGUAUUUGAUUAUUUUGAGGCCAUAGAGUAUGCAUAUUGACGGGAGAAUUCUAAUUAUUUGAAUUCUCAUGUUUGAAUUGGGCUACUGGAUUUUAUUUAUAAUUGUAGAAGACUAUUUGAUGUGUUAAUUUAAAACUCAAGCCUAGGUUUAAGAUUUGAGCAGGAAUCUUUUGUCAUUGUUGAUGAAGCCACUAAUAAAUGUNNNNNNNNNNNNNNNNNNNNAGACUUCGGUGAUAAGAUGCUUACAUGAAUUAUCAUAUAUAGCAUUGCUGAUGGAUGUUACGAAUCUUGGUGAGAAAAAAAUCUGGAGAUCGAUAGAGUUAAUUUCUAAUUAUAGUGUAUUAGCUCAAUGACUUCUAACCCAUUGAAUUUUAAGUAAAUCUUUUUGGAAAGAAGAUCAAUGUAGAUUGCCUAAUCGCAUUGCUGAGGAAAUCCAAGGUUAACUUAUUUUAAAUUAAACUUAGAUAUUUUUGAUUCUAAAAUGGUUGUGAAGAUAAUGUAGUGACCUUAAACCUGAAUAAUGGCUUGAGGGUUAGUUAUGGUUAGUAUACUCUGCAUAAAUUGAGGACAGAGAGAUCUGGAGGUUCUGCUCAAUUAAAGUUCUAAAAUUUGGAUUUUUCUUACUCCUAGUGCAAAGUGAUAUUUCGGUCAUAAAUCAUUUAGAAGCUUUAGAGUAUUUAAUGGAUUAAAUCAGAGUGCACAACGGAAGUGUAGUGGUUUGAGUUAUUUUGAAACUGGUUAAGGACAUUAAUAUUUGAUCUAAAAAGUAUUAUGAUGGAACACUUGAGUUAGUUUCUAGUAGAGGAGAAUGUUGUUGAUUCUAUGGACAGUCGGAGCGUGCUAUUUAGAUUUUGGAAGAUAUGUUAAAGAUGGAUUUGGGUGGUGCAUGGGAUAGUCAUUUGUCGCUGGUUGAGUUUGCCUACAACAAUAGUUAUCAGGCCAGUAUCCAGAUGGCUCCUUUUGAGGCAUUGUAUGGCAGGAAAUGCGGAUCUCCUAUUUAUUAGGAUGAUGUGGGCGAGAGAAAAUAUAUUCCGGACCCAAACCAUGUGGUGGAUUUUGAGCCUAUGAGUCUGCAUGAGGACCUAACUUAUGAAGAGUACCCGGUACGGAUUGUGGAUAGAAAGGAUCAAGUGUUGCGAUGUCGGACCAUUCCUUAUAUAAAGGUGCAAUUGAGCAACCACUCAGAAAGAGAGGCCACUUGGGAGCUCGAGGAAGAAAUAAAAGCCAAACAUCCUCAACUCUUUGGUAUUCCAGGUACAUUAAUUUCGCGGACGAAAUUUUUUUAGGAGGGGAGAAUGUGAGAACCCAGAAAAAAAAAGGGUUGACGGGCCGGCCUGAAAUGACCGGGCCCAUCCACCUAUUACGAUCGUGCCCUAGGCACGAUCGUGGAAGAGAGGAGUUGCAAGGGGGGCGGCGGCGUUAGAGGAGGCCGGUCGUCAUCGGAGGUUGACCGCCGGAGAAGAGGGCGAUCGUGGGGAAGGCGGCGAAUUUCGCGAACCGGCCGAUCAAGGAGGAUAAUGAAGAUCCCCACCAAUCGCACGAAGAGGCCUCGGAUCCGUGGGUUUACUUAUGGAUUUCUUCACCGAUUUCUCGCCGGAAAGGUCGCCGGAGCAUCCUGUCGGACUGAGGUAAGUCCCUUGUGCUUCAUUUCCUGGAUUUGGGGCGGCGUUGGUGGGGUUUUGGCUGGUGAAAUCAUCGGAGAGGGAUCCGAAACAGGGUACCCCUGUUUCGGCCUCUCUCUUCCGGAUUUUUGCCGCCGCCGGCCGCUAGUUGGCCGAGAGAUCCAUGGCAUCUGAGGCGUUGAUUUGGAUUGAGAAGGGAUUGUGAGGGAUUCUAGGGUUUUAGUUGGGGAUGGGGGGAGGUGGACCGAGGUCUCCUUCCUCGUGAUCCCAUCUCCUUUCCACUUUUCCUCUCGUCGGUUGGCCACCGGCGGCGACGACGAUGGCGGUCGUGGGCCACCGUGGCUGCCGUCGGGUGGGGGGAGCCGAGCCACCAUCAGGGUGGUCUUUGGCUGAUGAUGGAGGAGGGGGGGGACCCUUUGCUGGUUCUUGUGUNNNNNNNNNNNNNNNNNNNNCCGUCGCGGCGGCCCGCCGGAAAUGGGGCGGGGGUCGUGACAUCUUGGGAGGAAGAAGAAGAAGAGGAGAUCUCUUCUUCUCUAGCUCUUUCCCUUGGCCGGCCACCAUCGUCGGCGACUGCAACAGUGGCGGCCUGGAUGGUUCGGCUAGUAGUGUUGUCGGGUUGGGGAAGGAGAGGGCACAGCCACCAUGGCUGUUGCCCUUGGAUCAAAAAGAUUUGAGGGAGGGAGAUGUAUUCCCAACCAUGAAGAGGGAGGAAUCAUCCCUUUCUCUUGAUCUCUUCACCGGGACCGGCCAUCGUUGACGGCGUGGCUGCGGCCACGGCUGGCAACGACAUAGGCCGGUGGUACAAGGUGGAAGUCGGGCCACCCCGAUUGUCCUAGAUCUAGAGGGAUAGAGAUGUUUGCGGACCUGGUGAUGGACCCCAUAGUGGAUGUGAAUUAUGGUUUAGAAUAUUUAAAUAUUAAAUAAUUUAGUUUGUGAUUUAUAAUUGAUGUUGUAGGGGAAGAGUCAGCGGUGCCAGGAGAUUUUGAUCAGGGGACUCAGCACCCCAACGCGUAGGUUGUGAUUCGGAUCCAUGCUUGAGUCAGUCUACAAUUUUAGUAAGAAUCCUUACAUCUGAGCACCUCUAUUUAUGCAUGUAUUGGAUUUAUCGUUGGAUAUAUUUUUAUCAGUAUGUUGUUAUAAAUUUGAUGAGCUUGUAUGACACAUAUGAGGUGUGCAUUUGGUUUAUUAUGAAAGUAUUGGAAUAAUUAAAUUGGGAAGAAUUAUCAUAUUUUUGAGAAUUUAUGAAUAUAUAUGAUGUGAUUGAAAUGUGAUUAAACAUGUAAAACUAGACAUGUAAAAUGGGUUGGACUAACCUUGUCAUGAGAUAGCCUCUACGAGCUUAUGCGUAGGAUAGCUGCCACGAGCUGAUGCGUGGGAUAGCUUCUACGAGCUUAUGCGUAGGAUAGCCUCCACGGGCUUACGCGCGGGAUAGCUGCCACGAGCUUAUGCGUCGGAUUUGUGCAGUCUUGGACUGGGUUAUGAUCUUGGUUAGUCCAAAGCCAGAAGUGAAAAAUCUUAAAACUUGGGAAUCAGAGUAAUACGAAAGUAGAUCACAUAAUGUGCAAAAAGGAUUUAUGUAUAUGUACUGGUUAUAUAUACUUGUUGUCUGUUGAGCUUUUGAAUGAUGAAAUGACAUUUAUUUGUUGCUUUGAUUAUUUUAUUAUUAUUACUGUGUGUGGCUGCUGGGAUUCUUACUAGGCUGGAAAAGCUCAUACUACACUUACUUUCUUUUUCAGAGGCACUGGAAUUGUAGAGUCCAUCGGGUGGAACAAGAAAUGAGAUCGAUAUGGAGUCUGACUGCUAGAUAGUUAGAAAUUAAUUUAUCUUUUGUUUAUGGAUAUUUGAAAUUAUGUAAUUAAUCAGUACAUUUUAGUUGGGUUUGAUUUAAUUACAUUAAUCAUUAAUUUUGGGCAUUUAUGUGAAUAUUGUACCUUUUAGGCCUUACAUGAUCUCUAGGGUUUUACUUUAGGGAUUAUGUGGCCGUGUCACGUGGUCGACCCGAGUGAUGGGUUUGGGGCGUGACA